This 478-nucleotide ribosomal RNA is filed under the name uncultured bacterium. Its description in RNAcentral is "bacterial SSU rRNA". It matches the Rfam family "Bacterial small subunit ribosomal RNA", at positions 30 to 526 of the family's 1533-position model. The record is from RNAcentral.
AUUGAACGCUGGCGGCAUGCCUUACACAUGCAAGUCGAACGGUAACGGGCCUUCGGGUGCCGACGAGUGGCGAACGGGUGAGUAAUGCAUCGGAACGUACCUUUCAGUGGGGGAUAACGUAGCGAAAGUUACGCUAAUACCGCAUAUUCUGUGAGCAGGAAAGCAGGGGAUCGCAAGACCUUGCGCUGAUUGAGCGGCCGAUGUCAGAUUAGCUAGUUGGUGAGGUAAAGGCUCACCAAGGCGACGAUCUGUAGCGGGUCUGAGAGGAUGAUCCGCCACACUGGAACUGAGACACGGUCCAGACUCCUACGGGAGGCAGCAGUGGGGAAUUUUGGACAAUGGGCGAAAGCCUGAUCCAGCAAUGCCGCGUGAGUGAUGAAGGCCUUAGGGUUGUAAAGCUCUUUUACCAGGGAUGAUAAUGACAGUACCUGGAGAAUAAGCUCCGGCUAACUCCGUGCCAGCAGCCGCGGUAAAAGUC